This 1463-nucleotide ribosomal RNA is filed under the name uncultured Bordetella sp. Its description in RNAcentral is "partial 16S-23S ribosomal RNA intergenic spacer". It matches the Rfam family "Bacterial small subunit ribosomal RNA". The record is from RNAcentral. Lineage: Bacteria; Pseudomonadati; Pseudomonadota; Betaproteobacteria; Burkholderiales; Alcaligenaceae.
GGAUUUGAUCAUGGCUCAGAUUGAACGCUGGCGGGAUGCUUUACAUGCACAGUCGAACGGCAGCACGGACUUCAGUCUGGUGGCGAGUGGCGAACGGGUGAGUAAUGUAUCGGAACGUGCCUGAAGUGGCGGGGGAUAACUACGCGAAAGCGUAGCUAAUGCCGCAUACGCCCUUCGGGGGAAAGCGGGGGACCUUCCGGGCCUCACUAUUAAACGGCCGAUAUCGGAUUAAUAAGCUAGUUGGUGGGGGUAACGGCUCACCAAGGCGACGAUCCGUAGCUGGUUUGAGAGAGGACGACCAGCACACUGGGACUGAGACACGGCCCGAACUCCUACGGGAGGCAGCAGUGGGGAAUUUUGGACAAUGGGAAACCUGAUCCAGCCCCAUCCCGCGUGUGCGAUGAAGGCCUUCGGGUUUGUAAGCGCUUUUUGGCGGGAAAGAAACAGCACGGGAUAAUACCCCGUGCAACUGACAUUACCCGCAGAAAACCAGCACCGGCUAACUACGUGCCAGCAGCCGCGGUAAUACGUAGGGUGCAAGCGUUAAUCGGGCGUAAAGCGUGCAGGCGGUUCCGGAAGAAAGAUGUGAAAUCCCGAAACGCUUUGGGGCAUUUUUAACUACCGAGCUAAAUUAUUGUCAGAGGGAGGUGGAAUUCCGCGUGUAGCAGUGAAAUGCGUAUAUGCGGAGGAACUUUUCGAUGGCGAAACCUCCUGGGAUAACGACGCUCUCAUGCACAGCGUGGGGAGCAAACAGGAUUAGAUACCCUGGUAGUCCACGCCUAAACGAUGUCAACUAGCUGGUACGGUAGCCUUCGGGCCUUGUGCUAAUACUGCUGCGGCAGUUGACCGCCUGGGAAUACGGUCGCAAGAUUAAAACUCAAAGGAGAUUGACGAAAAGGACCACACAACAGGUGGAUGAUAUGGUUCAAUUCAUUUGCGCGAAAACCUUCUACGCAAGCAUAUAUUACAAGAUCCCGAAGAGAUUUGGGAGUGCUCGCAAGAGAACCGGAACACAGGUGCUGUAAGCUGUCGUCAGCUCGGCUGUCGUGAGAUGUUGGGUUAAGUCCCGCAACGAGCGCAACCCUUGUCAUUAGUUGCUACGAAAGGGCACUCUAAUGAGACUGCCGGUGACAAACCGGAAGGUGGGGAUGACGUCAAAGUCCUCAUGGCCCUUAUGGGUAGGAGCUUCACACGUCAUACAAUGGUCAGGACAGAGGGUCGCCAACCCGCGAGGAGCCAAUCCCAGAAACCCGAUCGUAGUCCGGAUCACAGUCUGCAACUCGACUGCGUGAAGUCGGAAUCGCUAGUAAUCGCGGAUCAGCAUGUCGCGGUGAAUACGUUCCCGGGUCUUGUACACACCGCCGUCACACCAUGGGAGUGGGUUUUACCAGAAGUAGUUAGCCUAACCGUAAGGAGGGCGAUUACAGUAGGAUUCCAUGGCUAGGGUGAAGUCGUAACAAGGU